UACGUAGGGUGCAAGCGUUAAUCGGAAUUACUGGGCGUAAAGCGUGCGCAGGCGGCUUUGCAAGACAGAUGUGAAAUCCCCGGGCUUAACCUGGGAACUGCAUUUGUGACUGCAUGGCUGGAGUGUGGCAGAGGGGGGUGGAGUUCCACGUGUAGCAGUGAAAUGCGUAGAGAUGUGGAGGAACACCGAUGGCGAAGGCAGCCCCCUGGGCUAACACUGACGCUCAUGCACGAAAGCGUGGGGAGCAAACAGG
RNAcentral lists this ribosomal RNA (253 nucleotides) under uncultured bacterium. Its description in RNAcentral is "partial 16S ribosomal RNA". It matches the Rfam family "Bacterial small subunit ribosomal RNA", at positions 524 to 776 of the family's 1533-position model. The record is from RNAcentral.